RNAcentral lists this long non-coding RNA (855 nucleotides) under Pan paniscus (pygmy chimpanzee). RNAcentral describes it as "lncRNA (ENSPPAG00000044689.1)". The record is from RNAcentral. Lineage: Eukaryota; Metazoa; Chordata; Mammalia; Primates; Hominidae.
CCUUCUGUUCCUAUCCUAGAUCCUUAGAAUAUACACAAAGUUUUCAUGGACCACACAUUAUGAAACACUGGAUUAGAGCAAAGUGAAAUGCUUCCAGAGUAGGAGCCACUAUUCUGAGGAAGCUUGGAAGAAAAAGUAUCAAAAUAUGUUACUAUAUUUUGGGGGGAUAGAGACAGAACUUAAAAUUGAUUGAACUCCAAAUAUGGCCAAUUUUUUAGAAGAUUUAAUCUUUCCCUAAAGCUCUUUGUUUACCCAUAAAAUGUGAACUUUCCUUGACUUUGACUGGGUAUGGAGUAGAUUGAUGGUAUUGACUGAUAUUUUUGAGUGUGUAGUUUGUGGUUUUAUGAAGCAUUUUUAUAUUGUCUAUACACUUUUGGAAAGUAUAUGCAAUUGCUAAAACUUCAACGUUAUCUUUUUCUUUUGAUGAAAUAGAAAACAUCGCCGAUUUCAUCUGUUCCUUCAGUCCCCAGAUAGCAGACGACUGGUAGGAAGAUGAGGCAAGUUUGUGGUCCAUUGUCAUGGAUAGUGGAGACAACAAUGGGCCAGAAGUGGUAAGACCUGAAUCCAAGACUCAGCUCUGCCGCUUGCUAAAUGGGACUUUGAAUAAACCAUUUCUCUGCACUUAAGUUCCUUACCAACAAAAUGAGGGAAGUGGCCUACAUGCCUAGAUAUCAACAUUUCAUGUCAUGUAGAGAUCUAGCAUCACAAGACUCCAAGUCAUCCUUUGUUGCCUUUAAGACAAAAAGCAGAUCAGCAAGUUUUCAUAUUGCACUAUUUUCAAUGGCUGGAGCAUCAACAUUUUACAACAAGAAAAAAAUUAAAAUUCUUCAACAUUUGGAAAAGAAGUGCUUGUAA